ACACUUACCUGGCAAGGGAGAUACCAUGAUCACAAAGGUGGUUUUCCCAGGUUGAGGCUUAAUCCAUUGCAUUCCAGAUUUGCUGACCCCUAAGAUUUCCCCAAAUGCAGGAAAUUGGACUUUAUAAUUUGUGGUAGUGGAGGAUUGCAUUUGAGCUCUCCCCUA
This is a small nuclear RNA of Phodopus roborovskii (desert hamster), 165 nucleotides long. RefSeq annotates it as U1 spliceosomal RNA. The transcript has a single exon. NCBI's taxonomy places the organism in Eukaryota, Metazoa, Chordata, Mammalia, Rodentia, Cricetidae. The record is from RefSeq and is a predicted model, not a curated record.